Molecule: ribosomal RNA, 253 nt
Filed under: uncultured bacterium
Lineage: Bacteria
Description: partial 16S ribosomal RNA
Rfam family: Bacterial small subunit ribosomal RNA
Source: RNAcentral
UACGUAGGCAGCGAGCGUUGUUCGGAGUUACUGGGCGUAAAGAGUGCGUAGGCGGUUUUCUAAGUUUGGUGUGAAAGCCCCCGGCUCAACCGGGGAACUGCACGGGAAACUAGCAGGCUUGAGUUCGGGAGAGGGAAGCGGAAUUUCGGGUGUAGCGGUGAAAUGCGCAGAUAUCCGAAGGAACACCGGUGGCGAAGGCGGCUUCCUGGACCGACACUGACGCUGAGGCGCGAAAGCUAGGGGAGCAAACGGG